RNAcentral lists this ribosomal RNA (862 nucleotides) under uncultured Acidobacteriota bacterium. Its description in RNAcentral is "bacterial SSU rRNA". It matches the Rfam family "Bacterial small subunit ribosomal RNA", at positions 56 to 896 of the family's 1533-position model. Lineage: Bacteria; Pseudomonadati; Acidobacteriota. The record is from RNAcentral.
UGCAAGUCGAACGCGAAAGGGGCUUCGGCCCUGAGUAGAGUGGCGAACGGGUGAGUAACACGUGGGUGACCUACCUUCGAGUGGGGGAUAACGUUCCGAAAGGAACGCUAAUACCGCAUGACGUUCCGGGUUUGAACACCUGGAAACCAAAGCCGGGGACCGCAAGGCCUGGCGCUAGAAGAGGGGCCCGCGCCUGAUUAGCUAGUUGGUGAGGUAACGGCUCACCAAGGCGGCGAUCAGUAGCCGGCCUGAGAGGGCGGACGGCCACACUGGGACCGAGACACGGCCCAGACUCCUACGGGAGGCAGCAGUGGGGAAUUGUUCGCAAUGGGCGCAAGCCUGACGACGCAACGCCGCGUGGAGGAUGAAGGUCUUCGGAUUGUAAACUCCUGUUGAUCGGGAAGAACGGGCUCCGGGUGAAUAUCCUGGAGCAGUGACGGUACCGAUUGAGGAAGCCACGGCUAACUCUGUGCCAGCAGCCGCGGUAAUACAGAGGUGGCAAGCGUUGUUCGGAAUUACUGGGCGUAAAGGGCGCGUAGGUGGCCUUUUGAGUCAGACGUGAAAUCCCCCGGCUUAACCUGGGAACUGCGUCUGAUACUGGAAGGCUUGAGUUCGGGAGAGGGAUGUGGAAUUCCAGGUGUAGCGGUGAAAUGCGUAGAUAUCUGGAGGAACACCGGUGGCGAAGGCGGCAUCCUGGACCGAAACUGACACUGAGGCGCGAAAGCCAGGGGAGCAAACGGGAUUAGAUACCCCGGUAGUCCUGGCCCUAAACGAUGAGUGCUUGGUGUGGCGGGUAUCGAUCCCUGCCGUGCCGAAGCUAACGCAUUAAGCACUCCGCCUGGGGAGUACGGUCGCAAGGCUG